This 77-nucleotide transfer RNA is filed under the name Puteibacter caeruleilacunae. RNAcentral's name for it is "Prolixibacteraceae bacterium JC036 tRNA-Arg". It matches the Rfam family "tRNA". From Rfam's summary of the family: Transfer RNA (tRNA) molecules are approximately 80 nucleotides in length. Lineage: Bacteria; Pseudomonadati; Bacteroidota; Bacteroidia; Marinilabiliales; Prolixibacteraceae. The record is from RNAcentral.
GGACCCGUAGCUUAAUUGGAUAGAGCACUUGGUUACGGCCCAAGAGGUUAGGGGUUCGAGUCCCUUCGGGUUCACAA